Molecule: ribosomal RNA, 478 nt
Filed under: uncultured bacterium
Lineage: Bacteria
Description: partial 16S ribosomal RNA
Rfam family: Bacterial small subunit ribosomal RNA
Source: RNAcentral
GACGGACGCUGGCGGCGUGCUUAACACAUGCAAGUCGAACGGUAAGGCCCUUCGGGGUACACGAGUGGCGAACGGGUGAGUAACACGUGGGUGAUCUGCCCUGCACUUCGGGAUAAGCCUGGGAAACUGGGUCUAAUACCGGAUAGGACCACUGCCUGCAUGGGUGGUGGUGGAAAGCUUUUGCGGUGUGGGAUGGGCCCGCGGCCUAUCAGCUUGUUGGUGGGGGGAUGGCCUACCAAGGCGACGACGGGUAGCCGGCCUGGGAGGGUGACCGGCCACACUGGGACUGAGGUACGGCCCAGACUCCAACGGGAGGCAGCAGUGGGGAAUAUUGCGCAAUGGGCGCAAGCCUGAUGCAGCGACGCCGCGUGAGGGGUGACGGCCUUCGGGUUGUAAACCUCUUUCAGCACCGACGAAGCGCAAGUGACGGUAGGUGCAGAAGAAGGACCGGCCAACCACGUGCCAGCCGCCGCAGUAA